This 909-nucleotide ribosomal RNA is filed under the name uncultured bacterium. Its description in RNAcentral is "bacterial SSU rRNA". It matches the Rfam family "Bacterial small subunit ribosomal RNA", at positions 33 to 947 of the family's 1533-position model. The record is from RNAcentral.
ACGCUGGCGGCGUGCUUAACACAUGCAAGUCGAACGAUGAAGCCUAGCUUGCUAGGUGGAUUAGUGGCGAACGGGUGAGUAAUACGUGAGUAACCUACCUUUAACUCUGGGAUAAGCCUGGGAAACUGGGUCUAAUACCGGAUACGACCAAUCUCCGCAUGGGGUGUUGGUGGAAAGCGUUAUGUAGUGGUUAUAGAUGGGCUCACGGCCUAUCAGCUUGUUGGUGAGGUAACGGCUCACCAAGGCGACGACGGGUAGCCGGCCUGAGAGGGUGACCGGCCACACUGGGACUGAGACACGGCCCAGACUCCUACGGGAGGCAGCAGUGGGGAAUAUUGCACAAUGGGCGCAAGCCUGAUGCAGCGACGCCGCGUGAGGGAUGACGGCCUUCGGGUUGUAAACCUCUGUUAGCAGGGAAGAAGAGAAAUUGACGGUACCUGCAGAGAAAGCGCCGGCUAACUACGUGCCAGCAGCCGCGGUAAUACGUAGGGCGCGAGCGUUGUCCGGAAUUAUUGGGCGUAAAGAGCUUGUAGGCGGUUUGUCGCGUCUGCUGUGAAAGGCCGGGGCUUAACCCCGUGUAUUGCAGUGGGUACGGGCAGACUAGAGUGCAGUAGGGGAGACUGGAAUUCCUGGUGUAGUGGUGGAAUGCGCAGAUAUCAGGAGGAACACCGAUGGCGAAGGCAGGUCUCUGGGCUGUAACUGACGCUGAGAAGCGAAAGCAUGGGGAGCGAACAGGAUUAGAUACCCUGGUAGUCCAUGCCGUAAACGUUGGGCACUAGGUGUGGGGGACAUUCCACGUUUUCCGCGCCGUAGCUAACGCAUUAAGUGCCCCGCCUGGGGAGUACGGCCGCAAGGCUAAAACUCAAAGAAAUUGACGGGGGCCCGCACAAGCGGCGGAGCAUGCGGAUU